AGAGUCGCGCAGGCGCCGUGCGAGUGCUGCAUUUUACCGCCGCAGAGGUGGAGGAUUGGGGAUCAGCAAGAACAAGUUCCCACCCCGCCUGCACCAGCCAUCACAGCUGUAGAAAAUUCCAUGCCGUGCCCCACCCUGAGCCAGUGGUAACGACUGUUUCUCACGCGGGACUGGAUUUCUAAAGCAUCACCAGAACCCUCCGCCAGAGCCCAGUGAAUAGGUGACCCAGAAAAGCUCUGAAGGUUUAGGGUGUGACACCACUGGAAGUUCCAUAAAUGACAUGGCAGCUCAAGAGGAUGAAGCAGUGAUGCCUCAAAGGCCCAGUGUCUGGCCCACAUCUACACAGGGAGUGGAAGAGGGUAGCAGGACCUACUCCUCAGCAGGCCAUGGGCAGCGAGUGGCCAGUGAGCUCCCACUCAGUCAAGCUGCUGUUCUUCCGCUGGAACCAUCUUGGUGUUUCCAUGCCUCUGCUGCCCCACUGUGCUUGACCUGACAUCCUUCAGGCCUCCAAAGGAUCAUUGCUUCCUCAUGGAAGACUUCCUGGCUCUCCAGGCCUGGGUGGUACUUCCUCUGGGCUCCCACCGCACCUGGGCAGGUCCCCCGUCUGUCCUGGUGCCUUGAUGCAGAGUAGGGAUUCAGCAGACAUUUGUUGCAUUGGAUUGCUAAACCCCACAGCCCCUCACACUUUGCCUAUCAAUGGUUUCCCCUUUAUCCAAGUUCUUUACACUCAGAUAUCACCUCCUCAGAGAGGCGUUUCCUGACCAUCCUGGCUGAAAUAGGAAACACAAACCCCGUGUCCCAGCCAGCCACUCCC
This is a long non-coding RNA of Bos taurus (domestic cattle), 814 nucleotides long. The record is from Ensembl. Lineage: Eukaryota; Metazoa; Chordata; Mammalia; Artiodactyla; Bovidae.